AUGUCAGUGGGUGCCAUUUUUUCCACAUGGAGGAAUUCAGUGACACACCUUUGCUUCAUAUGUGCUUCCAUGGCAGAUCUCAUUUUGUCAGAGUGCCCCUCUGCUGCCAUCUGUCAUACAGAAACAUGUAAUGGAAGAUUGGUGGGAAGGUUCAACCUCUACUUCAAUAAUACCAACAUCUGCCUCUCAUAUCAUAGGCCAACAUAAUAACAUAGGAGGCAUUACUUUCAGAGCAGCCCUUGUAUUGUGGGCUAUGUGCAGCAACUCAUGGCUUUGCAAAAAAAAUGAUAGCUUUGAAGGCUAAGAUGGCUGAGCACUGUCAGUUAAGAGCCUGCUAUCGUUCAGAAACAGACUAUUUAAAUGUGCUGUUUUUUCCCUGCUGUUGUAUUCUCUUUCCCCAAGCACAAGAGCUUUAAUGGAAUCGGAAAUGUUUGAGAGAAGGGCAGCAGGAAUGAUCCAAAAGGUAUGGAAUGUCUUCUGUCUGGGGAACUACUGAGUACACCAGACUCUGCUGUCUGGAAAAGAGAUGACUGAAGGAGGAUGCGGUAAGAGGACUACAAAAGCAUGAGAAACAUGGAGAGGGUAGGUGGGAUUAGAUGCUCAUUGUUUCUUCUAAUACACGGACUAAGCAGAGUGCAGAGACCAUAUAAAGUAGCAGGAACCAAAUCUGGAAAAAGAUGAUAACUCUUCUCACUGCAGUCUGUCAGAUGUGAGCUCCUGGCCAAAGGAUGCUCUAGCUGCUAGUAAUUCCCAUGAGCUCAAGGGAGAGGUGGAAAGUUCAGAGAAAAGGAAUCUCUGAGAGGUAUUAAACACACAGGAACUACACUCAGCUCAGGAAGUUCCUAGGCCAGGAACACAUUCAGAAACAGCACCGGGGACAAGGAAACACUCUUAUCUCUGCACUCCACUCACUGUUGGAGAUGCAGCACCAACCUAGGCAGAGGUUCAGUCCGGUCCAAUACAGCUGUCAUAUAACUAAAUUCUGCUUAAUGCACUGAUGUUUUACAGUGGUCGCCUCUCCCAUAGAGACAAGUAAGUGGUAAUAGCCCUGGCAGUGUACCAUGGAUCAGCAAGCGUGGGAGACUAUGAGUUAAUAACAGCCCUCAUCCUUGCACCAGGAAGCUGGUACUGUAUCAUCAACUUUGUGAAGAACAGAAGCCCCUUCUGGCCUGCAGCCUGGGAACUAGACACCGGUUUCUCAGUGUCAGGAUGAAUAAAUAAGGAAUGUGAAUGUUUACAUAUUUCCAAAUACCACACUAUGUAAAAAAAACUAUUUAAAGAAUACAUCCUUCUAUGCUUCACAACACAGAAUGUCAAGGGUCUUGGAAAAACUGACCUUCCAGUUUCAUGAGAAAGGCCCUGUGGCUCAGAUACUGGCCCUAAGUUCCCUGACUGUUCAGAAUAAUUGUUACUUUGUGUAACAGCUGAAUUCAGUCUUCCAUUCUAGGGCUUUCUUUAAUAAAAUGAGCUUGGGGAACGACAGGAUUGCCAUAGCAACAGAAUCCUCUUAAAAAAGAGGCAGGAGACACGCUGGUCUCACAUCCCAUUUCAGCUUUUUCUGCUCUACUGAUAUUUUCAGACUGAUCCAAUCUUCUUGUUGCUGCCAACUGUCUUGAGGGCUGCCCUGGCUACCUACAGCCAGUAUAAUGCCACGCAGCUCGAGCUGAGCUUUUAGAUGUCCCAGCCUGCAAAUGUCACAGCUGCCAUAGGAAUCCCCUCAGAAAACAAAAUCUAUUGCUAGCAAGCAGCAGUGACAUUUCUGUGGCUGCUGUACAGGCCCUUGGUGAGCCACUGAGACUGCUGUAUCAUGGUUCUCAGAUGGCAGAAGGAAGUUAAAGCAACAUGGGCCUGUGAGACCCCACUGAAGCAAUGAAGACAUGAAAACCUGUAGCAGAUAUUCCCAGCCCCUGGUUAUUUCAGGUUAUCAUGCUACGUGAUUUCCUAAAUUAAGUGGAAAACUCCCUCUUUAAGUUACUUAAGGCUUUUUCCUCUCCUAGCCCUUUCAUUUGGAGCUUUUCCAGACCAUUGCCCCUCUGGUCCUCAGGAUCUUUCUUCCAAUUUCCAGACAACAUUUACUGAUGAAUAGAUUACAUCUACUCAUUCUGCCGAUCUUGUCUUGGCUUUUACCCUUCCUUGCUGUUUCUCUUCCCAGUGCAAUGAGAGAUGGCAAAUGUGCUUGCCCUUACCCUUUAUUUGUCAGAGUAGACACACCAGUAUAUUCCAGUCCCACCUUGUGAGAUGAGUGAGCCUGGCUACGUAACCAGCAACUUGUACAGUGCCAUUCAUCCCUCUUUCUGCUGCAAUUAUUUAAUCCCACACCUUCUCCAGGACUGAAUCUGACACUUCUGCAGCCAUGUUAGCUAAAGGCUACCAUCCUGUGCUUGACCAACACACUUUGAAUAUUCUAUUCCAUCAUUUCCCCAAUAAACACAAAGCUAAUAUAGAAAAGGCUAUUCUUAGGCUAAUCACCAUCUAUAAGAAACCAUACAAUAGCCUCCUGAAUUUUCACAAACAGUCAAAAAAGACCAGUUUUCCAUUAUUUACAUUCUACCUUACAUUUGCAGUUUGGACUUGCUGAAAAACGUCUUUCAACUUUCUUUGUUUUCUACUCUGUCAUGUACUCCCUCCAUAGCUAUCUCCCAGUGGGUAUGAUCAACAUAACUUUCUCCUAGGAGGGUGUUCUCACCUGCAGCAUCUCACUGCUGCACCUGGGCUUCAUUUCAACAUAAGGCACCAAAGCAAAAACAGGUAAUUCUUAUCCACCUACUUCCCCCACAUGGGCCACUCUAUGGAGAAAGUAAAGACCUAUAAUAUUUAUCUCCCAUUAUCUCAUAUGUAAAGUUUCUAGAGGGAAAACAAACAUAUUUAAAACAAGAUUUCACAAAGAUGAAUGUUUUAGCCAAUUUUAGUCUGAAUGUUUUAGCCAAUUUUAGUCAGUAUUUUCAAGAUGUUUGAAAAUUUAGCUUAAUACCUAGAAGAAAUUUUGCCAGUAAUAUUAAAAUGAGGUAUUGUUUUUGGGAGGAAAAAGAAGUAUUUGAUGGGGCGAGGCACAAUGUAUUUGGCAGCGCACAGAAGAACUGUACUUACAUUAGCAUGCCUGAAUUUUGGUUUUAUCUAGGUCAUUUCUCCAGAAGGCACUUAAACACAACCUCCUGAUAGGCUUCCUUCCAAAUUUAAGAGGCAACUAGCUGCCACAGAUAUCUGACCAUUAGACAGACAUACUUCUGGUUGUUUCUUUUGGCGUUGUGUUUUUUUUUUUUUUAAAACUAGACAUUUGCUGGCUUUCAGUAUCAGUGACGGGUCUCAGUUCCAGCGAAUGCAGGCUGACACUACUGUUCAUCAGUAAUGGCUACCACAGGGCCCGGAAGGCUGCACAGCAAGUAACCGGACUGAAGAAAACAGAGAAACCACAUGCAGAUCAGCAACUCCUUCAGAAAUCCAUGUGCUACGCUUUGGAACUGCUGCCUGCCAACUGGCUGCAGAUGAACCCAAAGCAGACAGAGAAAAGCAGAAUUAUCUUGAAAUAGAUAUAUUGUUAAAAAGAAAAAAAAAAUCAUUGCAACAAGGCUGUGAAGAAAGAAAGUGACCAAUUUGAUGUAUCAGAAGUUAAGACUUUGCCACAACAAUUUAAGAGAGCAGGAGACAGACAGACCUUGUAGCUCCCAAACCACAUAAAGAAAACAGUAUACUCUUUUUAUGGAAGAGAAAUUUCAGUCUCUCAGAUUUUACUCGAGAUGAUUGGAUGUGUUUAUCUGGAACACAGAGAAACCAUCAGAGCCAGAAGAUGAAAAACCUGUGGUAAUUUUGACAAGUGUUGGCAAACAGAACUGUCAAGAAAGGAUAAUGACUUUAUAUUCACAAAGCAGUUUUCAUCCAGAUAGAACCCAGAGUGCUUUACAAUUGUUACUAAUGGAUUAUACACACACAUGAAUCACUUUGCCCAUGACUGAAAUGGAACAGCUUAAGGAGUGAACUGUUUAACAGCACAUAGCAACCUGACACUACAGUUUAGCACAGGAUCCAGUUGCAAAUCCGAAAGAAAAUUAGGAAGGCAGAAUGUAAUUACCCACAGUGCAAUCAGAACAGACGCUGUGUUUACAUUACCCCUCCUGCAACCACCGCCACUGGAAAUAUGGCAACUGUCAGCAUCCAGUGCAAUGUCUGUCACAACGGGAAGAUCACAACGGGUACCUCUUCAGCCCCGUUCAAGUUAAAUUGCAAGGCAGCUGAACACAACCUAGCUGAACCUGGAGACUUCAGACUCAACAAUCAAAGUUUGUGUUACAUCCCCCCUGAAAAAUGGCAUGCUGUCCCUUUGACAACAUAACACAGCACUUGGUCGAUACUGCACGGGAAGAAAGAAGCUCACACACUGUCACCAAUGCUACUUCCUCCAACACCUGUUUCUCAUCAGCAAGUUUUCCAGAGGGGGAACAAGGGGCUCUGUUUAAUCUUGAUUAAACUUGUGAAUGAAGGAGCAGAAAGAAUUUAAAUCACCUAAGCAAUCUAACAACAGGUUGAGGAAAAUACUGCAGAAGUGAAGAGGAAGGCUCCUUUUUUCCUUAAAGCAAAACAACAGUGAAAAAAACUUUCAAGAUCUGCGCUGACAGCCUACAGACCAGGAAGAGGGAUCAACACCACAGAAAAAUGGCAUUUCCUUUUCCAAGUACAGGUCUCUCAACUCAGUACGUGUUACCUGGCAAACAAGAAGAGGGCUUUGAAGUCGCCAUACAAAAAUGAUUUCAGUACAAUUGGGUAUACUCUACAGCCAGUUCCCGCAGCAGCAGAAAAUAGCUGCAAAGCAGAAGACCCUGGCAGAGCAGCAGAAGUCAUCACAACAACUCCUUGAGCUGCUUCCCCGCUCUGCAUGAAGAAGACAUGGACAGCUUCUUUACCCUGGGGAUUUAGACAGCGUAUCGUACAAAUAUGCACUGCAGCACACAGUCCAGUAAGAGGUAGCAACACUUUUCUCCUCUGCUUUCUCAAGCAAGCACUUUAAAUGAACACUUACUGCCUCAGCAUUCAGCUGCCAAAGCUGAAUCAACUGCUAAAGCCUAAGGAACAUAAAUUUGCUUAGAAGAAAAGAGCAGCCAGCUACCCACAGAACCACAGACACGCUGGUUACUGGUGUUCAGAUCUUCAACAGGAAAAAGGAGAUGACACGUGAAAUAUGAUGCAGUCUCCUGGAACAGGGUCAAAUGCAGCCUCGUGCCUUAUGAAUGGCAAUUUCCUCAGUCAGCAGUUUUCUCGUGGCUUGUAUCAAGGCUCAGUUUGGCCCAAGAACUUUAGAGGUAGAGGUGAGUCAUAUUAAUAGCAUACACAUUUUAUAAUCUUACUCAAAAUCUUGCAGCAAGUAAUACUAUUUCAUAUUAAAGUGGAUUCUAAGAUAAUGGUAUAAACUGCAAUCCAUUUGAGACUACCUUGCCAAGAAAGAGACCGAAAACAAAUGCUGGUAAGUUCCCCAAACUCCAAGGGGCAAUUCAGU
Numida meleagris (helmeted guineafowl) is the source of this 5485-nucleotide long non-coding RNA. RefSeq lists it as uncharacterized. The record is from RefSeq and is a predicted model, not a curated record. The transcript is spliced from 3 exons. NCBI's taxonomy places the organism in Eukaryota, Metazoa, Chordata, Aves, Galliformes, Numididae.